RNAcentral lists this long non-coding RNA (5175 nucleotides) under Brassica rapa (field mustard). Its description in RNAcentral is "long non-coding RNA (BRAP_LNC006062)". Lineage: Eukaryota; Viridiplantae; Streptophyta; Magnoliopsida; Brassicales; Brassicaceae. The record is from RNAcentral.
AUGGGAAGGGUUAGGUGAAAACGAUAAGGAAGUGAAAGGAUAAGUAAAAGUAUGAAAGAAUGUUGUUAAGGUUAAGCAUGGGUGGGAAAGCAUAUAGAGAGUCUAAGGAAAGUAGGUGGGGUAAGUAGUCCACGCUAGGUAUCCAUAGGAGAUGUGGCGAAUCCACAUGAAUAUGGAAGCACCCAUAGGAGAUGUGGCCAAUCCACAUGAAUAUGGGGUAGAAGCCUAGUGGGGGGCUACCCACUGAGGAAAAGAGGAAAAGAUGAAAAGAUGAAAAGAUGAAAAGGAUAUGCAUUGUAGGGUUCUAGCUCAUGGUCGGGUACAGGAAGUUAAAGAAGUCAUAGGAUCGAGUCGGACUGGUAAGAUGAGUCGGUUAAGUCUAGGGAUGGCGUGUGUGGCAAUGAGUGAGAUCAUUGUAUUGAUUGAUUACUAGGUUGUUAGAAAUGAAUGGAAGUGUGUGUAGAAAUUACAGAUGGUGAUAGGAAAUGAUAAAAUGCAUUAACGGAUUGUAGUGGCUAGUCAGUCCUAGUUCCCGCAUAGAGUAGUAUAGAGUGUCGUGCGGGCAGGCUGGUCUAGAGCCACUUCACUGAGUAACUUGUUGCUCACCCCCUCCAUUUCCAUUUUUUCCCUGUGCGCAGGACUGUAAGUAGAAGUAUAUGGAUGUGGGUGUGACGGUAUUUCAAAGAAGGUUAUGCGCUCGUCUCUCGGGACCAGUAACGGGACACGUAGGGUUGUCUAAAUGAGUAGACACGUGUCCAUAACGCCCCUUCGAUAACCCCGGUCGGACGCCGGGGGAUCGGGCUGUUACAAUUGGUAUCAGAGCGGGUUAAGAUCCCUUAGUUCCGUCCUAAGGGAUCAGCAUUUCCGACGUUUAAAAAAAAAAAAAAAAUUGUUUUCAUUAAAAGAAAAGAGUUUGUGAAAGUUUUGAUUCUCCUAAAAGUUCUGAAAACGAUUUCAAAACCACCCACUAUAUUUAUACUUCUAGUAUGGUUCUGAUCGGAUGUCUACUUGAAGGAUGUCUUCGACAAUCAGUAACGACCAGAGUGACAAUUACGGGUAUCGUGGACCUGCAUGGUGGAACUCGAUCUACACUCGGACUCAGCGCACCAUAAAGGAAAAUGUGGUACCCUAUCGGUGACGCCCAUUGACGAAGUUUCAUCGCCAGACACAUGAGUUGGAGUGGUUGGAGAAAAACCAGAGAUGGAAACCCGACUAAUGUAACUACCGAGAACGUGAAGGUUGUGGCGGAUAUCAUGGGUUUAGAGGAACAUUAGAGGUGCAAUGAAACAAGAUGAAGUCAUAGGUCAAUGAAGGUAUUUUCCGAGGAAGGACAUAUAUCUAAUGGAGGGCUAGUUCUAGGAUAUCCGCCAGAGAGACAUGAUUGGAAGGGAAUACAAUAAGGAUGUAACCCCUGAGGAGAUUUAUCGGGCUACCUGGAUAGGACCGAGGGAGUAUAGAGAAUGAUAACCAUGGGAGUGUAUGUGGUACUGUUAAUACCUCUCGACGGUGUGAACCUGCAUGGAGACCUGCUGGAGUUGGAGUUUGGAAUGAUAUGAAGUGACAGAAUUUUGGGAUGCGUAUUUAGAGAUGUAGCAGUGUUCGGGGAUGUUGCAGUAUGUUAGGAAUAGUAUCAUGGCUUAGCGAGAAUCUAUACAGAGGUCAAAGAUUAAUGAAUAGGAAGGGAGCUAGGAAAGAAGACCGGGGCCAAGCACAUGGAGUUAAUAUAUUGUAUUGGCACGUACUCAUAAUCCUCGAUAGGAGAGGAGAGUAGUCCUUAAUGGAAUAAGGAUUAGGACAUGGAUAUAAGCUAUCUUGAUGUUGAAAGCUGAAGGGUUAAGUGGAAAGGAAAAUGAUUUGUAUUUGGAAGUGAAAGCUCUAAGUAUUGGAUAUCCCCUAUGAGAACUAUAUGAACAAUCAUGUUGAAUCCCUUAUGCUGGACCAAAGUGGGGGAGAUCAGAAUCUCGAGCCUGAGAUGAUCCAUGAAACCGCUUAGCAGAUAUAAUUGUUGAUGAUGAGCUGCUUUAUUAAAGGAUAGAAGAGGUACAUGACCAUCAGAGAAUUACGUCGACAAGAGUGGUGGUGAUAUGGAAAUGCAUAUGAGAAGGAAGCAAUCUAGGGAUGAGAACGCUGUUGGGGAAUCGAUUUGGGAUUUAAGAGGACGUUGGAUCUCCGUGAGGAAUAUGGAACCUGGUCUGUUGCAUGAACUAUUAGAUUUCAAAGGACGAGUUGUUUACCCAUUUUGGUUCGGGAUGUUAAAGUUGGAGUAUCGACACACGGAAUUCGGGGACGAAUUCCAUUCAAGUGGGGGAGAAUUGUAACGGCCCGGUUCCUAGCCCAAAAAUUUAUUAAGGAGAGCCCGUUAAGACUGCAGUCCAUUAGGGUAAAUGACCUAGGGUUUCCUCCUUUUCCUAUAAAUGAAGCUGCCUCCUCUCACUUUUCUCUCAUCCUGAAACCUAAGCGAAGCUCUGCAGAGAUUUAGAGAGACUAGGAAACCCUAGCCGUCAAGCUUCUCUUUUCCUUUUCUCUCUUCUUCUCUCAAGCCUCUCUCUCUCCCCUGCGCCGUGUCUCUCUCUCUCCUUCUCUCUCUCUCUCCUUCUCUCUCUCCUCUCUCCCUCCUCCUCGCCGGUGUCAUGUGGUGGUGGUGGUUGCAGCCGAUUGGUGGUGGUGGUCAGAUCUCGCAGCUCUUUUGUUUCCUUGUUCCAGAUCUGUUCAGAUCUCCUCUCCCUUGCCUCUUGUUCCACAUCCAGAUCUAGGCUAAGGUGGAGUGUUUCGAACCCAACCUUCUUUCAUGGUCCUGUAUACUCCUAUAUGUUGGGGUUAGGUUUGAUUAGACCCUGUUUGGGAGUUAGGUUGAUAGUACAUGGUAUUGCUAGGAUGAUAGAUGAAUGGAUCAUGAUGCAUAAGAACCCUCAUAUUGAUAAAUGGGACUUGAUGAACUGAAUUGAAUUGUUGUGGUAAUGGCUGAUUGGUAGUUGAUUCUUGUAUGUUUGGUUGUGUUGUCCCAUGUGUGGUUGUGAUUGAAGUUAGGAUGCUAGAGAGAAAUAAAUGCUAGGAUGAUAGAUGAGCAAUGAUUAUAAAAGUUAUUGAAGUAGAACUUGAAUGCAAUGUGUAUUGUGUGACACCGAUAACGGGUGGCGUCUAGUGAUUGAGUCCAAGUACAAGUAGGAAUGAAAAGGGAAGUAAUUGGGAAUGGGAAGGGUUAGGUAAAAACGAUAAGGAAGUGAAAGGAUAAGUAAAAGUAUGAAAGAAUGUUGUUAAGGUUAAGCAUGGGUGGGAAAGCAUAUAGAGAGUCUAAGGAAAGUAGGUGGGGUAAGUAGUCCACGCUAGGUAUCCAUAGGAUAUGUGGCGAAUCCACAUGAAUAUGGAAGCACCCAUAGGAGAUGUGGCCAAUCCACAUGAAUAUGGGGUAGAAGCCUAGUGGGGGGCUACCCACUGAGGAAAAGAGGAAAAGAGGAAAAGAUGAAAAGAUGAAAAGAUGAAAAGGAUAUGCAUUGUAGGGUUCUAGCUCAUGGUCGGGUACAGGAAGUUAAAGAAGUCAUAGGAUCGAGUCGGACUGGUAAGAUGAGUCGGUUAAGUCUAGGGAUGGCGUGUGUGGCAAUGAGUGAGAUCAUUGUAUUGAUUGAUUACUAGGUUGUUAGAAAUGAAUGGAAGUGUGUGUAGAAAUUACAGAUGGUGAUAGGAAAUGAUAAAAUGCAUUAACGGAUUGUAGUGGCUAGUCAGUCCUAGUUCCCGCAUAGAGUAGUAUAGAGUGUCGUGCGGGCAGGCUGGUCUAGAGCCACUUCACUGAGUAACUUGUUGCUCACCCCCUCAAUUUCCAUUUUUUCCCUGUGCGCAGGACUGUAAGUAGAAGUAUAUGGAUGUGGGUGUGACGGUAUUUCAAAGAAGGUUAUGCGCUCGUCUCUCGGGACCAGUAACGGGACACGUAGGAAUGUCUAAAUGAGUAGACACGUGUCCAUAACGCCCCUUCGAUAACCCCGGUCGGACGCCGGGGGAUCGGGCUGUUACAUGAAGUAUCACCGUUAUAACCCUGUAGAGACCAAUACAACAAGCAUCAGAGAGUAAACCUAGUGAAGGAUUGUGAAACACGCAAAAGAAGACAACUUACGUUUAAGUAAACCGUGACAUCAAUGUUGAUUAUAUCUCCAUCCUGCAAAGUUCAAACAUGGAUACAACAUUUUAUUAACGAUUCACAAGUAAAAGACACUCAAACACACACACAAACACACCUCAAGUGGUCGUGAAUCAGGGAUGCCAUGGCAAAUGCAUUAUGCAUUCACUGACAGAAGUGCAAACACUUUUAGGGAAACCUCCAUAGCCAAGUGGAGAAGGAUAAGCUCCAUUCUCUAUAAUCAUACUGUGAACCGCUUCAUCAAUCUCAUCCGUGGUUACACCUGGCUGUCUCUCAAAACAGAAAACAAAACAAAACUGAUGAUUGUUCUGUAAGAGUGGGAAAACAAUUAAAAGUAUCCGCAAAAAAAAAACAAAAAAAAAACACAUUUCAUAAAAAAACACAUUUUUCGGUCAAACCAAUAAAACCGCACUCUUCGACCAAAACGGUAAAAACGAACUUUCAUGUCAAAAUCGUAAAAACGCAUUUUCCCGGCAAACCGCAAAAUAGCAAAAAUGCAUUUUCCUGCCAAAACCGCAAAAACACAUAUUCUCGCAAAAACAGAAAAAACGCAUAUCUCGCCAAAACCGCAAAAAUGCAUUUUUCCGCCAAAACCGCAAAAAACGCAUUUUUCCGCCAAAACCGCAAAAUACAUUUUUUCUCCAAAAUCGGAAAACAUAUUUUCCCGCCAAAACCGGAAAAAACAAUUUUCCACCAAAACCGGUAAACGCAAUUUUCCCGCCUAAACCGAAAAACGCAAUUUUCCCGCCAAAAUCGAAAAAAAACAGUUUCCCGCCAAAACCACAAAAAUGCAUGUUCCCGCCAAAACAUGCAAAACCGUAUUUUCCUGUCAAAACCACAAAAAUGCAUUUUUCGUGAAAACACAUUUUCGGCAAAAACUGCAAAAAAAUAUUUUCUGCCGAAAACGCAAAAAUACAAUUUUUCCGUUAAAAAUGUAGCAAUGCACAUUUUCUAUCAAAAGCGCGAAAAUGCAUUUUUCUGCCAAAACCAUAAAAAUGUUAUUUUUCUAUCAAAACCUAAAAAAUAUAUUUUAAUCAUUUUAUUAA